This 423-nucleotide unclassified non-coding RNA is filed under the name Faramea trinervia. RNAcentral's name for it is "partial external transcribed spacer". The record is from RNAcentral. Lineage: Eukaryota; Viridiplantae; Streptophyta; Magnoliopsida; Gentianales; Rubiaceae.
GAUCAACCAGGUAGCAUUCCUCACGGACAUCGGGUCGCAAGGCGCAGAACGCCAGUGCGACGCCAAACGUCGUUCGGUCAGAGCGCGUUCAGCGCUAGUUUUGGGCAGACGGGGUCGGAGACCCUUUGCCCCCCGCGUGUUCCGUAUUCCCGAGGUCGGGCGAGCGAUCGUGUGCCGCGACAACAGCAACAGUAAGACAUGCAAAUGCCACGGAACGCAAUCGUCGCCUAACGGUUCACCCGGAGAAGCACCGUUUAGAACGGGCAGCUCACGGGCGAACGAUACAAAUUUCGACAAACGAAUUCCAUCAUCGUAGGUAUGCAACACAGGAAACCGCACGCGACGGACGAGGCUAACAUCGCUCUCGCACCAACGAUUGAAGAGGAACGCAUGGGAGGACGUCGCUGCCCGAGCAGGGAUCCA